UUAAACCCAGGAGGAAGAGGUUGCAGUGAGCUGAGAUCGCACCACUGCACUCCAGCCUGGGCAACAGAACAAGACUCCAUCAAAAAAAAAAAAAAAAAAAGGGAUGAGUGUAGUGGCUCAUGCCUGUCAUCCCAACACUUUCGCAGGCUGAGGUGGAGGAUCACUUGAGCCUGGGAGGUUGAGGCUACACUGAGCCAUGAUUGUUCCACUGUGCUCUAGCCUGGGCAACAGAGUGAGACACUGUCUCCAAAAAAGGGAGAAAGACUCCUCAAGGGCUGACGCGUGUCCUCUCAAUUGCAGACCAUCCAUAAUGUACGUGAACACAGGCCAGGGGCUUUCUCACCACAAACAAUUCCUCUUCCAUGUAAGUACUUAUUAUUGUAAAGCUGUAGAUGGCAAAGCAAUACCAGCUUUGAUUUCCUACUCUGAUUUUAAUUUGCAGGUACAUGGGGAGAACCUCUUUGGAGCAGAAUACCAGUUGCAAAUUUGCAUCCCAACCAAAUUACGAGGUCUCCAGGUUGUAGCAGUGAAGAAGCUGACGAGGACUCAGGCCUCCACGGUGUGCACCUGGAGUCAGGAGCGCGCUUGUGCGUACAGUUCGGUUCAGCAUGUGGAAGAAUGGCAUUCAGUGAGCUGUGUCAUCGCUUCAGAUAAAGAAAAUGUCACCGUGGCUGCAGAGAUCUCCUUGGAUCACUCUGAGGAGUUACUAAAAGAUGUAACCGAACUGCAGAUCCUUGGUGAAAUAUCUUUCAACAAAUCUCUAUAUGAGGGACUGAAUGCAGAGAACCACAGAACUAAGAUCACUGUCGUCUUCCUGAAAGAUGAGAAGUACCAUUCUUUGCCUAUCAUCAUUAAAGGCAGCGUUGGUGGACUUCUGGUGUUGAUCGUGAUUCUGGUCAUCCUGUUCAAGUGUGGCUUUUUUAAAAGAAAAUAUCAACAACUGAACUUGGAGAGCAUCAGGAAGGCCCAGCAGAAAUCAGAGAAUCUGCUCGAAGAAGAGAAUUAGGACCUGCUAUCCACUGGGAGAGGCUAUCAGCCAGUCCUGGGACUUGGAGACCCAGCAUACUUUGCAUUACUUUUUCCUUCAGGAUGAUCUAGAGCAGCAUGGAGCUGUUGGUAGAAUAUUAGUUUUUAACCAUACAUUGUCCCAAAAGUGUCUGUGCAUUGUGCAAAAAGUAAACUUAGGA
RNAcentral lists this small RNA (1187 nucleotides) under Pan troglodytes (chimpanzee). RNAcentral describes it as "retained intron". Lineage: Eukaryota; Metazoa; Chordata; Mammalia; Primates; Hominidae. The record is from RNAcentral.